Molecule: ribosomal RNA, 425 nt
Filed under: uncultured bacterium
Lineage: Bacteria
Description: partial 16S ribosomal RNA
Rfam family: Bacterial small subunit ribosomal RNA
Source: RNAcentral
GUGGGGAAUAUUGGACAAUGGGCGAAAGCCUGAUCCAGCAAUGCCGCGUGAGUGAUGAAGGCCUUAGGGUUGUAAAGCUCUUUUACCAGGGAUGAUAAUGACAGUACCUGGAGAAUAAGCUCCGGCUAACUCCGUGCCAGCAGCCGCGGUAAUACGGAGGGAGCUAGCGUUGUUCGGAAUUACUGGGCGUAAAGCGCACGUAGGCGGCUACUCAAGUCAGAGGUGAAAGCCCGGGGCUCAACCCCGGAACUGCCUUUGAAACUAGGUAGCUAGAAUCUUGGAGAGGUCAGUGGAAUUCCGAGUGUAGAGGUGAAAUUCGUAGAUAUUCGGAAGAACACCAGUGGCGAAGGCGACUGACUGGACAAGUAUUGACGCUGAGGUGCGAAAGCGUGGGGAGCAAACAGGAUUAGAUACCCGUGUAGUCC